GUACAAACAAUUUUUCUAUUUCAGGUCUGUUUUCUUCGUGAACGAUUAAUUAGAAUGUCACAUUCCAGAUUUUACCGGACGUCGGCUGAAAAAAUUGCGGUGAUGACUGUCUUGAUGCAAAUUGAUGAAGGACGGAUCCGCUUGUCGGCUGCUUGGCUGUUCGACGUUGGGGUCCAUCUCAUUCCAGCAUUGACAGGCGCUGUAGUGACUUAUAUGGUAAUUCUUCUUCAAAAUUAAUCAACGCACUUAUUUAACAAUUUUCUUGGUAAAAACCGGGUUUUUUUGAGCGG
Long non-coding RNA from Daphnia pulicaria, 290 nucleotides. RefSeq lists it as uncharacterized. NCBI's taxonomy places the organism in Eukaryota, Metazoa, Arthropoda, Branchiopoda, Diplostraca, Daphniidae. The record is from RefSeq and is a predicted model, not a curated record. The transcript has 3 exons.